Molecule: ribosomal RNA, 292 nt
Filed under: uncultured bacterium
Lineage: Bacteria
Description: partial 16S ribosomal RNA
Rfam family: Bacterial small subunit ribosomal RNA
Source: RNAcentral
GUGCCAGCAGCCGCGGUAAUACGGAGGGUGCAAGCGUUGUCCGGAUUUAUUGGGUUUAAAGGGUGCGUAGGUGGUCCUGUAAGUCUGGUUUGAAAGCUGGGUGCUUAACACUCAGAUGUGGCUGGAUACUGUGGGACUUGAAUGAACUGGAGGUCACUGGAACGGGUCAUGUAGCGGUGAAAUGCAUAGAUAUGACCCAGAACCCCGAUUGCGUAGGCAGGUGACUACGGUUUGAUUGACACUGAGGCACGAGAGCAUGGGGAGCGAACAGGAUUAGAUACCCUGGUAGUCC